AAUAGAUGAUACUGUUGACUUUUUGUUGCACGUUUGACCAUUCGUUUUAUUCAAAAAAUGUAUGUAAUUAUAAUUUAUUUUGUUAUGAGUUGUUUUAUCACUCAAAAUACUUUAAGCAUGAUUUAUAUCUGGCAUUUGCAAAAAAAAAUUGAAUGAGACGAAUGGUCAAAUGUGCGACAAAAAGUCAACGGCGUCAUCUAUU
Molecule: microRNA precursor, 202 nt
Filed under: Oryza glumipatula
Lineage: Eukaryota; Viridiplantae; Streptophyta; Magnoliopsida; Poales; Poaceae
Description: MIR812 microRNA precursor family
Rfam family: MIR812 microRNA precursor family
Source: Rfam by way of RNAcentral